CAGAGUAGGAAUUUACGCGUAAAGUGCUUUCCGAACGGGGAGUUGUCGGAAAGACGAAAGUAUUUACUGCGGUGUAAGUUCCGCAUCCCACUGU
RNAcentral lists this non-coding RNA (94 nucleotides) under uncultured Ruminococcus sp. RNAcentral describes it as "THF riboswitch". It matches the Rfam family "THF (Tetrahydrofolate) riboswitch aptamer". From Rfam's summary of the family: THF riboswitch presents a pseudoknot that joins P1-P2 and the loop of P3 and two THF binding. Lineage: Bacteria; Bacillati; Bacillota; Clostridia; Eubacteriales; Oscillospiraceae. The record is from RNAcentral.